This 497-nucleotide ribosomal RNA is filed under the name uncultured bacterium. Its description in RNAcentral is "partial 16S ribosomal RNA". It matches the Rfam family "Bacterial small subunit ribosomal RNA", at positions 28 to 507 of the family's 1533-position model. The record is from RNAcentral.
GAUGAACGCUGGCGGCGUGCCUAAUACAUGCAAGUCGAGCGAACGGACGAGAAGCUUGCUUUUCUGAUGUUAGCGGCGGACGGGUGAGUAACACGUGGAUAACCUACCUAUAAGACUGGGAUAACUUCGGGAAACCGGAUCUAAUACCGGAUAAUAUUUUGAACCGCAGGGUUCAAAAGUGAAAGACGGUCUUGCUGUCACUUAUAGAUGGAUCCGCGCUGCAUUAGCUAGUUGGUAAGGUAACGGCUUACCAAGGCAACGAUGCAUAGCCGACCUGAGAGGGUGAUCGGCCACACUGGAACUGAGACACGGUCCAGACUCCUACGGGAGGCAGCAGUAGGGAAUCUUCCACAAUGGGCGAAAGCCUGACGGAGCCACGCCGCGUGAGUGAUGAAGGUCUUCGGAUCGUAAAACUCUGUUAGUAGGGAAGAACAUCUGUGUAAGUAACUGUGCACAUCUUGACGGUACCUACUCAGAAAGCCCCGGCUAACUACGUG